RNAcentral lists this long non-coding RNA (1252 nucleotides) under Cairina moschata (Muscovy duck). RNAcentral describes it as "domestica (muscovy Duck (domestic type)) lncRNA (ENSCMMG00000001937.1)". The record is from RNAcentral. Lineage: Eukaryota; Metazoa; Chordata; Aves; Anseriformes; Anatidae.
GGAGGAUGCUCCUAUGGAACCCCAUUGUUGCCAUUCCCAGCUGGUCACCGGGGAAAGUCUUCUCCUUUCCCUCUCUCCCCCUUCAUUUAUUCGUAUUUUGCUCUACAGCUACCUUUAACCUUUAUGGUUACUGUAUGCCUUCAGCUAUGUACCCUGCAAAUGAAUCUUUGUGUAUGUGAACAUGGAUCUGCUGUAGCAUGGCAUCUAGAGCAUUUAGCAUCCAUGUGUCUGGGAGAUGAGCAGCCACCCAAGAGACAAGAUAAUGGAGCAGGAAGAGCAGCCUCCUCUGCCCAUUAGCUGAAUGUUCCCAAGGAGAAUGCAAGAUGCUCCCCAAAAGCAAUAAUUUCUAUUUGAAAGCCUCAUCUGUUACUUAAAAAAAAAAAAAAAAAAUCUAAUAAUGGUGGUGGCAAAGAGUUGAACUGAAUGGGAUUGCACGGCAGCGCUUUUAUCUACUAUCAGGAGGAAAGAGUCUGUAGCAUGGUGUGAAAACCAGUGGAUGUGUCUUCUUAAGAAGAAGAAAGAAACAUUUUACCAAAAUGUGUUAGAAGAUUCUCUCUUGAUUGGGCUGCUGGUUGCCAAGGAGAAAGAAUUGAUCAUUCAGAGCAAGAUGAGAAGAGGAGCUGUCAGGAAAGAAGACAUCUGGAGCUGACUAGUGCAUGGUUUUGUCUUCUUAGCCCAGUGACACUGAAUCAUUUGCUUCACUGUUUUAAACAGAAUAAACAUCUGAAAAUAUCUGAUUUCCAUUUAAAUUAAAAAAAAAAAAAAACAUGUAGCCUCUUCUUUUUUCUUCUUCUUCUUAGCAAUGAAGCUAAACAAGACAAUAUUACUUCCAUGCUUGGUUCAAUGUGUGAUCACUUUUAGUCAGUACUAGUGGGUCAUUAAAUCACCGCUUGCAGGUACAUGGCAUGUAAUUCAUACAGAAGGAAUCAAUAAUGACAUUAAAAAAAAAAAAAUCUAAGGAAGAUUCUUGAGACAAUACUGUAAAAAAUGUGCUAUUCAGGUACAUUUUUAAUAGCAACAACAUGCUCUGGCUUCUGGCAGCCAGACAGACAACAAGAUUAACUUCUUGUGCUUGAUCAAAAAAGUGAAAAAAUGUCCUAGUUCAGGACUUUAAUGUUAAGCUUGUUUGGUAAAUGGCAUUCAGGAGGAAAAUAAUUUUAUAAAAGAAAAACAGAUAUUUUAAUUGUCGGCAGAGCAACAACAGGAAAAAAAGGAAGUUUUUUUAAAUGAUCUAACAAGCUCAGUCCCACUG